RNAcentral lists this ribosomal RNA (80 nucleotides) under Yersinia pestis. Lineage: Bacteria; Pseudomonadati; Pseudomonadota; Gammaproteobacteria; Enterobacterales; Yersiniaceae. The record is from RNAcentral.
CCUGGCGGCCAUAGCGCGGUGGUCCCACCUGAUCCCAUGCCGAACUCAGAAGUGAAACGCCGUAGCGCCGAUGGUAGUGU